GCCGGGCGGCGUGCUUACACAUGCAGUCGAACGAUGAAGCCCUUCGGGGUGGAUUAGUGGCGAACGGGUGAGUAACACGUGGGCAAUCUGCCCUGCACUCUGGGACAAGCCCUGGAAACGGGGUCUAAUACCGGAUGACACUUUCUCUCGCAUGGGAGAAGGUUGAAAGCUCCGGCGGUGCAGGAUGAGCCCGCGGCCUAUCAGCUAGUUGGUGAGGUAGAAGCUCACCAAGGCGACGACGGGUAGCCGGCCUGAGAGGGCGACCGGCCACACUGGGACUGAGACACGGCCCAGACUCCUACGGGAGGCAGCAGUGGGGAAUAUUGCACAAUGGGCGAAAGCCUGAUGCAGCGACGCCGCGUGAGGGAUGACGGCCUUCGGGUUGUAAACCUCUUUCAGCAGGGAAGAAGCGCAAGUGACGGUACCUGCAGAAGAAGCGCCGGCUAACUACGUGCCAGCAGCCGCGGUAAUACGUAGGGCGCAAGCGUUGUCCGGAAUUAUUGGGCGUAAAGAGCUCGUAGGCGGCUUGUCACGUCGGUUGUGAAAGCCCGGGGCUUAACCCCGGGUCUGCAGUCGAUACGGGCAGGCUAGAGUGUGGUAGGGGAGAUCGGAAUUCCUGGUGUAGCGGUGAAAUGCGCAGAUAUCAGGAGGAACACCGGUGGCGAAGGCGGAUCUCUGGGCCAUUACUGACGCUGAGGAGCGAAAGCGUGGGGAGCGAACAGGAUUAGAUACCCUGGUAGUCCACGCCGUAAACGGUGGGAACUAGGUGUUGGCGACAUUCCACGUCGUCGGUGCCGCAGCUAACGCAUUAAGUUCCCCGCCUGGGGAGUACGGCCGCAAGGCUAAAACUCAAAGGAAUUGACGGGGGCCCGCACAAGCAGCGGAGCAUGUGGCUUAAUUCGACGCAACGCGAAGAACCUUACCAAGGGUUGACAUCGCCCGGAAAGCCGUAGAGAUACGGCCCCCCUUGUGGUGGGGUGCCAGGUGGUGCAUGGCUGUCGUCAGCUGGGGUCGUGAGAUGUUGGGUUAAGUCCCGCAACGAGCGCAACCCUUGUUCUGUGUUGCCAGCAUGCCCUUCGGGGUGAUGGGGACUCACAGGAGACUGCCGGGGUCAACUCGGAGGAAGGUGGGGACGACGUCAAGUCAUCAUGCCCCUUAUGUCUUGGGCUGCACACGUGCUACAAUGGCAGGUACAAUGAGCUGCGAAGCCGCGAGGCGGAGCGAAUCUCAAAAAGCCUGUCUCAGUUCGGAUUGGGGUCUGCAACUCGACCCCAUGAAGUCGGAGUUGCUAGUAAUCGCAGAUCAGCAUUGCUGCGGUGAAUACGUUCCCGGGCCUUGUACACACCGCCCGUCACGUCACGAAAGUCGGUAACACCCGAAGCCGGUGGCCCAACCCCCUUGUGGGGAGGGAGCUGUCGAAGGUGGGACUGGUGAUGGGACGAAGAUCGUACAUCGAGCGUCAGCC
Molecule: ribosomal RNA, 1465 nt
Filed under: Streptomyces sp.
Lineage: Bacteria; Bacillati; Actinomycetota; Actinomycetes; Kitasatosporales; Streptomycetaceae
Description: bacterial SSU rRNA
Rfam family: Bacterial small subunit ribosomal RNA
Source: RNAcentral